Ornithodoros turicata is the source of this 919-nucleotide long non-coding RNA. RefSeq lists it as uncharacterized. Lineage: Eukaryota; Metazoa; Arthropoda; Arachnida; Ixodida; Argasidae. The record is from RefSeq and is a predicted model, not a curated record. The transcript has 4 exons.
AUUGCGACGGCCCCAGAUGAGCUGCUAUGAAAAUCUAAUGCGGGAGCUGGCGGUCGAAGAUCACGACGGAUACAGAAGAUACCUGCGCAUGGACGUGGCGACGUUCGAGUAUCUACUAAACAUGGUUCGCCCAUAUAUCGAGAAGCAAGACACGAACUUCCGAGCGGCAAUAUCUCCAGGAGAACGUCUCGCUGUCACGUUGAGGCAUCUUGCAACAGGCUAUCAAGGGCCAGAAGGGUCGUCGAAAAUGCUUUCGGUGUCCUGGCAAGCCGGUGGCAGCUUUUCAGGAGUCCGAUACGGUCCAGUGCUGAAAAUGCCAAGGAUCUGGUGAAAGCCUGUGUGGUCUUGCACAAUAUGCUUCGACAUGCCAGGCCCACAAAGAGGCUGUACACACCUCCUGGAUAUCUCGACACCGAAGAUAUCCUCACAGGUGAAGUGAACCUCGGUGCCUGGAGGCAGUGCCAUCGUGGCUUGCCCGAAGCACAGGGACAAGGUGCUCAGGGCCAGAACCAUACAGCUAGGGCCAAGCAGGUGCGGGAAGACUUCUGCGCCUAUUUUAACGGUCCGGGGAGUGUGAGCUGGCAGCGCCGAUCAAUCGGACUGGAGUGAAGCAGGUACACAACGUAUGCAGUCUCCCAGCUGCCUCAGGAAGUUGUCAACCUCAUCCGUUUGAGUAGCAGGACGGGACAAUCUGUUCACAGCAGCCUCUGGAAGUGCCGAGCGCUGCUCCAGGAGGGAUGAAGGAUCGUCUGGGCCAGACCGUGAUUCAGAGACCGUGAUACCGGCUCGCCAUUUUACAUGUGCUCCACCACGCUUCCUUCCCCGAUAUACCUUCUUCAAUGUUGUUAACCCUUGUUUUGCGAAAUGACAUCCAUUACAACUUUGCAAUAUAGUUCUAUUUUGGAAAAAUUACAGAUAA